AUCGCUUCUCGGCCAUUUUUGGCUAAGAUCAUGUGUAGUAUCUGUUCUUGUCAGCUUAAUAUCUGGCAUGCGAGUCACUGACUCGCUCCUAUAUUAAACUGAUUUUUGUUCAGAAAAAGUGGUAAAGAAGCUUGCUUCAACCACUUUGAAGAUCUUCUCAGUAUUGCAUUACUUCUGAGUUAGGUCUAACCCCA
RNAcentral lists this small nuclear RNA (194 nucleotides) under Hofstenia miamia. RNAcentral describes it as "U2 spliceosomal RNA". It matches the Rfam family "U2 spliceosomal RNA". From Rfam's summary of the family: U2 is a small nuclear RNA (snRNA) component of the spliceosome (involved in pre-mRNA splicing). Complementary binding between U2 snRNA (in an area lying towards the 5' end but 3' to hairpin I) and the branchpoint sequence (BPS) of the intron results the bulging out of an unpaired adenosine, on the BPS, which initiates a nucleophilic attack at the intronic 5' splice site, thus starting the first of two transesterification reactions that mediate splicing. The record is from RNAcentral. Lineage: Eukaryota; Metazoa; Xenacoelomorpha; Acoela; Hofsteniidae.